CCCAUAGAAAUGAAAUUCUCAUUUGCUUUAUCAUAGGUGGGGCCCAUUGAAACAAAAUUUUCAUGUCCCUCGCUAAAGGAAUGAGCCAUUGAAAUGACAUUGCUGUCAUCCUUUUCAUAUGAUGGGCCCAUUGUUAUAAAGUUGGCAUCCGCCUUGUCAAAGGGCUGCCCCAUUGAUAAGAUACCGUCAUCUCCCUUGUUAUAAUUGUGUCCCAUCGAUAUGAAAUUUUCAUCUCCCUUGUUGAAGGUAUGGCCCAUUGUAAUGAAAUUGCCAUCUGCCUUACUGAAGUUGGGGCCAAUUGAGAUGGUAUUCUCCGCCGCAUUAUUAUAAGUUGGACCCAAAGAUAUGGCAUUGCUUUCAUUCUUACUAUAGGUAGUACCCAUUGAAAUCGCAUUGCUAUCUGAUCGGCUAGUGGAGUUCCCCAUGGAUGCAGAAAUGGCAUUGCUGGAGCCCCUAACUUGAUUGAUUUUAACUUUUCUGAGUCCACCAAAAUUGAUACAUCCUGAGGGAUCCUCAAUGUUAUGAGACAUAGACAAACUCAUAGAGGAAUUGCUACCAUAUUGAUCAUUGAAUUCCUUUCUUCCCAUAUUUAUGUUCAUAUUUCCACCCCCAGCAGAAGGAACAUUUCUAUCGACCAUAUUGUUGGUCCGCACAGCCUCUGACCCAAAUAGGCGGUCACUGAAUUGCCCUGAAACUGACUGAAAACUGGAAGCAUUAUGCCAUGGAGAAAUGUUCAUGUGAGAAGUUCCCAAAACUGGCCUGUUACCAUCGGCUUCAACUGCUUGCCGUUUGUUGCUGAAUAAUUCUGGUUCAGUGGUAUCCAUGAACCACUGAUGUCCACGCUUUGGUUCAAUUCUUGUGGAACUAUCAUAACCUAUCUCUCCAUCAGUUAGACACCCUGCAUCUCUUGACAUCCAAAAGCUUUUGUGCUGGAAAGACAUUUUCG
This 946-nucleotide unclassified non-coding RNA is filed under the name Hevea brasiliensis (rubber tree). The record is from RNAcentral. Lineage: Eukaryota; Viridiplantae; Streptophyta; Magnoliopsida; Malpighiales; Euphorbiaceae.